Molecule: non-coding RNA, 152 nt
Organism: Equus caballus (horse)
Lineage: Eukaryota; Metazoa; Chordata; Mammalia; Perissodactyla; Equidae
Source: Rfam
UAGCCCACCCGUCUGGCAGGCAGCAUUUCAAUCCUCCUAUGCCUUCUUUCUCCUCUUGUGGUCUUUCUUCUGAAACAAGGAAGAAACAGUCAAAUUAGAUUUGCCCUCUUGGAAAUGUGGUCCAGAUUGCUCUACUCCCAAGCUCCAGAAAA